AACAUCGCGCACCUGCGGGAACCUGCGGAAGGAUCAUUACAGAGUUGCAAAACUCCCUAAACCAUUGUGAGCGUUACCUAAACCGUUGCUUCGGCGGGCGGCCCGGGUCCUUCCCGGCGCCCAUCGGCCCUCGCGGGCGCCCGCCGGAGGUAAACCAAACUAUUGCAUUGUAUGGCCUCUCUGAGUCUUCUGUACUGAAUAAGUCAAAACUUUCAACAACGGAUCUCAGAUCGGAAGAGC
This 240-nucleotide unclassified non-coding RNA is filed under the name soil metagenome. RNAcentral's name for it is "partial contains 5.8S ribosomal RNA, internal transcribed spacer 2, and large subunit ribosomal RNA". The record is from RNAcentral.